CAUGAGUGAGAUGCUUAGAUGUGAUCUUUUAGGGUCAAACAGUGUUUUUCUUUUUGAAUCAAACUUCACAUUUCUGCUUGAUGUGUUUUAUUAGAACAUUAAGAUCUGAUCUUUUCUGAGUGUCAACAGGUGAAAAAUCUUUAUUUUUGAAUGAAUCUGGGCCACCGACAUAUGUGGUCUGGGUUCUGAUUAAAAGCUGAGUUGUACCUGGUAAUCAGAUCAGAUCCAGGUUCAUGUCAGUGCUGCAGACAGGUCAGAUUCUAAUGAAACAUCUCAUCUUCAUUCUUAUUUUCAACAGAGACCUUUGAAGUGCAAACGAAAGUCAAAAAGAUGACGAAAGGAGACAAACAAAAGCAGGAUGCCAAGAAAGAAACUCUGCCCAAACAAGCUGUGGAAGCGACAAUGA
Molecule: long non-coding RNA, 406 nt
Organism: Thalassophryne amazonica
Lineage: Eukaryota; Metazoa; Chordata; Actinopteri; Batrachoidiformes; Batrachoididae
Exons: 3
Source: RefSeq, a predicted model, not a curated record